This 322-nucleotide long non-coding RNA is filed under the name Rhinopithecus bieti (black snub-nosed monkey). Its description in RNAcentral is "lncRNA (ENSRBIG00000045421.1)". The record is from RNAcentral. Lineage: Eukaryota; Metazoa; Chordata; Mammalia; Primates; Cercopithecidae.
CACGUAUGAGAACAAAGCAGGCAACCAGGAUGAUUACUCCCAAAUCAUUGACAAAAGGAGAGAGAAGUACAGAGAUACAGUGAUUGGGGGUUGCCAAAAAGUUGCACGAGUGUUUCAACUGGAUAUUGCAACUGAAGACAUUCACUCUGCAUUGAUCACCUAUGGAGUGAUCAACUUUCAACCCUUUGAAGUUUCCUAAAUUGCUGCUCUGGCCAAGGCACCUUGCUGAAAUCUCCACUUCCACUUGUGCACCCUGCCAAGCCACUCUCUACACAGCUGCCAGAGUGAUUACAAAAAUAACACGGGAUUAUGCUACCCCUGC